Molecule: ribosomal RNA, 498 nt
Filed under: uncultured bacterium
Lineage: Bacteria
Description: bacterial SSU rRNA
Rfam family: Bacterial small subunit ribosomal RNA
Source: RNAcentral
CGACGUUAGCGGCGGGCCUAACACAUGCAAGUCGAACGCGAAAGGUCUUCGGACUGAGUAGAGUGGCGCACGGGUGAGUAACACGUAGGUAAUCUACCCUUUGGCGGGGGAUAACGUUCCGAAAGGAGCGCUAAUACCGCAUAAGACCACGGAGUCUCCGGACGCUGUGGGAAAAGGUGGCCUCUUCUUGAAAGCUACCACCGAAGGAUGAGCCUGCGUCCCAUCAGCUAGUUGGUAAGGUAAUGGCUUACCAAGGCGAAGACGGGUAGCUGGUUUGAGAGAAUGAUCAGCCACACUGGCACUGGAACACGGGCCAGACUCCUACGGGAGGCAGCAGUGAGGAAUAUUGGGCAAUGGGCGAAAGCCUGACCCAGCCACGCCGCGUGAGUGAUGAAGGCCCUCGGGUCGUAAAGCUCUGUGGAGAGGGACGAAAACCCUGGUUUCAAAUAGGCUCCAGGCUUGACGGUACCUCUUUAGCAAGCACCGGCUAACUCUGUG